AGCUUGCUCUUGAUGACGAGUGGCGCACGGGUGAGUAACGCGUAUGCAAACUACCUAUAACUGAGGGAUAGCCCAGAGAAAUUUGGAUUAAUACCUCAUAAUAAUAUUUUUUGGCAUCAUUAAAUAUUUAAAACCCCGGUGGUUAUAGAUGAGCAUGCGUUCUAUUAGUUUGUUGGUGAGGUAAAGGCUCACCAAGACUACGAUAGAUAGGGGGCCUGAAAGGGUGAUCCCCCACACUGGUACUGAGACACGGACCAGACUCCUACGGGAGGCAGCAGUGAGGAAUAUUGCACAAUGGAGGAAACUCUGAUGCAGCCAUGCCGCGUGCAGGAUGACGGCCCUAUGGGUUGUAAACUGCUUUUUUACAAGAAGAAACCUUGGUACGUGUACCAACUUGACGGUAUUGUAAGAAUAAGCACCGGCUAACUCCGUGCCAGCAGCCGCGGUAAUACGGAGGGUGCAAGCGUUAUCCGGAUUUAUUAGGUUUAAAGGGUUCGCAGGCGGAAUUUUAAGUCAGUGGUGAAAGCC
This 528-nucleotide ribosomal RNA is filed under the name uncultured Bacteroidota bacterium. RNAcentral describes it as "bacterial SSU rRNA". It matches the Rfam family "Bacterial small subunit ribosomal RNA", at positions 77 to 602 of the family's 1533-position model. The record is from RNAcentral. Lineage: Bacteria; Pseudomonadati; Bacteroidota.